UUAGAUGUUAAGCUGAAGCCUCUGUUGA
Molecule: unclassified non-coding RNA, 28 nt
Filed under: Mus musculus (house mouse)
Lineage: Eukaryota; Metazoa; Chordata; Mammalia; Rodentia; Muridae
Description: oocyte_clustered_small_RNA9000
Source: RNAcentral